UGGGGAAUAUUGGACAAUGGGCGCAAGCCUGAUCCAGCCAUGCCGCGUGAGUGAUGAAGGCCCUAGGGUUGUAAAGCUCUUUCACCGGUGAAGAUAAUGACGGUAACCGGAGAAGAAGCCCCGGCUAACUUCGUGCCAGCAGCCGCGGUAAUACGAAGGGGGCUAGCGUUGUUCGGAUUUACUGGGCGUAAAGCGCACGUAGGCGGACUUUUAAGUCAGGGGUGAAAAUCCCGGGGCUCAACCCCGGAACUGCCUUUGAUACUGGAAGUCUUGAGUAUGGUAGAGGUGAGUGGAAUUCCGAGUGUAGAGGUGAAAUUCGUAGAUAUUCGGAGGAACACCAGUGGCGAAGGCGGCUCACUGGACCAUUACUGACGCUGAGGUGCGAAAAGCGUGGGGAGCAAAACAGGAUUAGAUACCCUGGUAGUCCACGCCGUAAAACGAUGAAUGUUAGCCGUUGGGGAGUUUAACUCUUCGGUGGCGCAGCUAACGCAUUAAACAUUCCGCCUGGGGAGUACGGUCGCAAGAUUAAAACUCAAAUGAAUUGAACGGGGUCAUAGCUG
RNAcentral lists this ribosomal RNA (560 nucleotides) under uncultured bacterium. RNAcentral describes it as "partial 16S ribosomal RNA". It matches the Rfam family "Bacterial small subunit ribosomal RNA", at positions 355 to 928 of the family's 1533-position model. The record is from RNAcentral.